RNAcentral lists this ribosomal RNA (491 nucleotides) under uncultured bacterium. Its description in RNAcentral is "bacterial SSU rRNA". It matches the Rfam family "Bacterial small subunit ribosomal RNA", at positions 28 to 507 of the family's 1533-position model. The record is from RNAcentral.
GAUGAACGCUAGCUACAGGCUUAACACAUGCAAGUCGCGGGGCAGCAUUUUCCUAGCUUGCUAGGGAAGAUGGCGACCGGCGCACGGGUGAGUAACGCGUAUCCAACCUUCCCAUGUCCACGGGAUAGCCCGUCGAAAGGCGGAUUAAUACCGUAUGAGGUCACAUGCGGGCAUCUAACUGUGACGAAAGGUUUAGCGGACAUGGAUGGGGAUGCGUCCGAUUAGCUAGUUGGCGGGGUAACGGCCCACCAAGGCGACGAUCGGUAGGGGUUCUGAGAGGAAGGUCCCCCCACAUUGGAACUGAGGCACGGUCCAAACUCCUACGGGAGGCAGCAGUGAGGAAUAUUGGUCAAUGGACGGGAGUCUGAACCAGCCAAGUAGCGUGCAGGAUGACGGCCCUAUGGGUUGUAAACUGCUUUUAUAAGGGAAUAAAGUGGGGCUCGUGAGCUCUUUUGCAUGUACCUUAUGAAUAAGGACCGGCUAAUUCCGUG